AUGGCCAAGUCAUAUGUAUGCCAUGGUGGUUGCAUGUGUGUUGCAAAUGAUGGAGGUCCAGCUGAGCACAUGAUUGUUGAUGAUGAGGAUGCGGGAGACCAGGGCGCUGCUGCAGAGGGGUCCAACAUUGAGUCGGAUGACGAGUUCCUAAAUGAUGAACAUGAGGAAGUACCUCCUCCACUAGUUGUUUACACAAAGGGUAUUGUUCUAAGUGAUGAUGAAGGAUCAAAGUUGGGUUUGGUUCUUACCAUCAAUUAUGGGUACAUUGGAUCUCCUUUCGUGCGCCGUCUCACAAUCACAAACGUUGCAAGCAAGCAGAUGGUAAAUGUGUUUUCAACCUGA
This 342-nucleotide ribosomal RNA is filed under the name Triticum aestivum (bread wheat). RNAcentral's name for it is "partial small subunit ribosomal RNA". Lineage: Eukaryota; Viridiplantae; Streptophyta; Magnoliopsida; Poales; Poaceae. The record is from RNAcentral.